AUCCAAAACAGAGCAUGAAUAAGCCAGAGCCAUGUGUGGUUGGAGAAGGCAGGGGGAGAGUAUAUCCAUCGUAUUAGCGCUAGAAAUGUCUCCAAGAUACGAGCUCUGAGAACCUUAAACCCACCAACGCCAAAACCAACAUUCAAAACAAACUUACAACGUAGAUACAGAAGAGACCCAUCAAAAACCUCCGUCCAAGGAGGGGUAUUAACACAAAAUCUGGAGACUAGAGAAGCAAGACGAUGAAAGAAAACAAACUACGGAAAUUAAAGAACAAAAUUUCAUUGCAAAUUCAUUUUAUCCUUCAUCAAUUUCCAUGUCGGAUAGUUCAUGAACAUUCACGCUGCUUCUGCAAUUAAAUAUGUCAUGAUUAAGUUGACACGUGUCACACAAGCCAGGGCGCACGUUAACAUGCGGCACUCGAAUUUCAUUUUUUUUAAACUGUUGUUUUAAUCUUAAAGAACUCCGUUCUGAGACAGAUUAAAGAUUAAUAUUACUCUGUUUCCACUUUUCACUUUCUCUUUCUUUCUCUCCCUCUCUUUCUUUCUCUUUCCGAUGGCCAGCAACCACUACAUUACUAGCAACGGCGACGCCGAGCUGGCCAAGCCGGUGCUUACUUCGUCGGCUUCCUUCAAGACACGCAAAUCCAAGCCCAAUGCCGCCGCCGCCGCCGCCGCCGCCGCAUCAGCAGCUAUCUCCCGUGCCGGUUCAGAUGUCGAUGAUAUUAUUACUCUUUUGCACGGCUCUGAUCCCGUUCGCGUUGAGCUUAAGCGCCUAGAAAAUGAAGUCCGAGAUAAAGAUAGGGAACUGGGAGAAGCCCUUGCAGAAAUCAAGUCCUUGAAGAAUUCAGAACGCCUGAAAGAGAAGGCAGUUGAAGAGCUUACAGAUGAGCUAAAUAAAGUGGAUGAAAAGCUAAAAGCUGCAGAAGUUCUUUUAGAAAGCAGGAACCUUGACAUUAAGAAAAUAAAUGAUGAGAAAAAAGCAGCAUUAGCUGCACAAUUUGCUGCAGAAGCAACACUUAGAAGAGUGCAUGCUGCUCAGAAAGAUGAUGAAAUGCCUCCCAUUGAAGCCAUCAUCACUCCACUGGAGGCUGAACUAAAGUUGGCCAGGCUGGAGGUAGCAAAGUUGCAAGAUGACAAUAGAGCACUUGAUCGCCUCACGAAAUCCAAGGAAGCUGCUCUACUUGAGGCGGAGAGAACUGUUCAGAUGGCUUUGGCAAAAGCAUCCUUAGUUGAUGAUUUGCAAAACAAAAACCAAGAGCUAAUGAAGCAAAUUGAAAUAUGCCAGGAGGAGAAUAAAAUCCUCGACAAAAUGCAUCGCCAAAAGGUUGCUGAGGUGGAAAAGCUGACCCAAACUGUUCGUGAGCUUGAGGAGGCUGUCUUAUCUGGAGGCGCUGCUGCUAAUGCUGUGCGUGAUUACCAGAGAAAAGUGCAAGAAAUGAAUGAGGAGAAAAAAACAUUGGAACGUGAAGUAGCUCGUGCAAAGGUUAGUGCAAACAGAGUUGCUACUGUAGUUGCAAAUGAGUGGAAAGAUGGAAACGAUAAAGUUAUGCCAGUAAAGCAAUGGCUUGAAGAAAGAAGAUUUUUUCAGGGGGAAAUGCAGCAACUUAGAGAUAAAUUGGCAGUUGCUGAGCGCGCAGCAAAAACAGAAUCUCAAUUGAAAGAAAAAUAUCAAUUACGGUUCAAGGUUUUGGAGGAAAGGCUUAAAGCACCUAAUGGUAAUUCCCGUGCUACAUCUGAAGGAAGAAAUGUAUGCAGUGGGCUUUCACGUCGUCAGUCUCUUGGUGGAGCUGAGAAUUUUUCCAGAUCAUCUUCCAAUGGCUAUUUGUCAAGGAAAGCAUCACAUUUACAAGCUGGCUCUCUCCGUUCCAAUAACACUGCCACAUUAUUAAGACAUGCCAAGUCAUCAAGAUCAUUUGAUGGAGGUAAUGAGCCUGUGGAUGCAGUUAAGAUUAUUCCAGAAAAUAUGAGUAAAGAAAAUGCUGUCAAUCAGACCCAAAAUAGUGAAACCAUUGUCUGUGAGCAACAUGCUAAUGGGAUGCCAAUGGAAAAAUCAAAAUCCCAGCACAAGGAUUAUGUUUCAGGAAUUUUGUAUGAUAUGUUACAGAAAGAGGUGAUAACUUUGAGAAAAGCUUGCCACGAAAAAGAUCAAAGCCUCAAGGACAAGGAUAAUGCCAUUGAGAUGUUGGCAAAGAAGGUUGAUACAUUAAACAAAGCAAUGGAGGUUGAGGCAAAAAAGAUGCGAAGGGAAGUGGCUGCCAUGGAAAAGGAAGUUGCUGCUAUGCAGGUUAGCAAGGAGCAUGAUCACAGAACACGACGCAGCAGUGCUCCCAGAGCUGCUCAGUUACUUUCUGCAAGGUAUGCAAGAAAUUCAUAGGCAACUGAUGUAAAUGCAACAAUGAGCAGACAAAAGCAUGUUUGAUUAUUUAAUUUUGAAGCCAACAAGUUUGUGGUUUGUCAUAUUUAUACUCUUCCUGUCUUCUGCCGCUUCAAUUGUCUCCACCAAUAGAGCCUAUUUGUAAAGCACUGACUCUAGCUUUCCAAGAGAAUUAAUCAAUCAUAUGGUGUAAAUGUUUUGUAUCAAAAUUAUUAAAAUUAAGAAUCAUUAUGAUCAAGUGUGCCACGAAACUAAUAUACAAGGCUUGUCAUGAAUUCUUCCUUUUGAUGGUAUAGAGGAAACUCCGGAAGAAUCGAAUGUAUAGAGUUGUAUGGUACGUUCUAUGAAACUUUUCAGGUUUUAUCCUUUCGUAAGUUUAUUUUUUCAGGCAAUAGACCUUCAAUUCAUCAACAUGGAAUUGUAAAGAACGAAAAUGCUUGACGCGAGCGAUGAAUCUGGACCAU
RNAcentral lists this unclassified non-coding RNA (2840 nucleotides) under Hevea brasiliensis (rubber tree). The record is from RNAcentral. Lineage: Eukaryota; Viridiplantae; Streptophyta; Magnoliopsida; Malpighiales; Euphorbiaceae.